RNAcentral lists this unclassified non-coding RNA (222 nucleotides) under uncultured fungus. RNAcentral describes it as "sequence contains ITS1, 5.8S rRNA gene". The record is from RNAcentral. Lineage: Eukaryota; Fungi.
UUGAAUAACUUGGUGUUGAGCUGGCCCUAUUGGGCAUGUGCUCGCAUCAUAUUAUUUAUCUAUCUCUUGUGCACCUUUUGUAGUCUUUGUAGCACUCGCAGUCAAUGCGGUUUUGGGGCUUGGGCUUUGUCCUUUCCCCUGUUUGCUUCAAAGGCUAUGUUUUAUACACACUAUUGAAGUUACAGAAUGUCUCUUAUUGACUUUCGAGUCAGUAAAUCUAUA